ACAAGAGCAACAAUAUAGAUUAAGUUCAAAUAGUAGUUAAUAAAGUAAUUACGUUCAGCUAGCACUAAAAAGGCUACUCCUAGUAUAUCUGGAAGUUUGUCCAUAGAGGGGGAAUCAGUUGGGCCUUGCUGUUUGGUAUUGUGGUUUGGUAUAUAUGGAAGGAUAGAUGUGACUUGGUUUUUAACAACCAUAUAACUACGCCUUGUAAUUUAGUAGUACUUAUUACUAAUGCUGCCAAUGAUAUAAUCGAUAGUCUUUGUUAUCCAGAUGCAAUCUCAAAUCUUCACAUGAAAGAAGCUCAUGUUGCUUGGUGUAAACCGGAACAAGGUACAUGGAAGAUGAACACUGAUGGCUCUAUUCGCUCUCAACAGCGGCAAGCAUCCUCUGGUGGGCUGAUUAGAGACUGGCAAGGGAAGGUAAUUUGCGGAUUUAUAGAAAAUCUGGGUCAUGCUCAAUUCUGAGAGCAGAACUGUGGGGAGUCCUUAAAGGCUUGGAACUUGCUUAUAAGUUCAAACCGAAGGAGAUCAUGAUGGAAUUAGACUCAAAAAUAGCUUAUGAUCUGAUUACCAUUAGAUGUUCCACCCUUCACCCUUGUGCAGAUCUGGUGCAAGCAAUUGCUGUCAAAGCUGGUUUGGACUGGGAUGUGCACUUCCACUUGGUCUUUAGAGAAGCCAAUAAAUGUGCUGAUUAUUUGGCUGGUCUUGGGCACAAUAUGCAGCGUUUUGAUUUUAGUAGUGAAUGUGUUCCUCACUCAAUGUUUUCUCUAUUAAGAGAUGAUGUGAAUGGGGUUUCUUACCCUAGACUUAUGUAAUUUGUUUUCUGGGCUUGCCCCUUAUUACAUAAAAAAAAAAAAGGCUACUCCUAGUAGAAGUGGUAGAAUUAUUCCAAGUAUAUCAGCUAGAACAGCUAUGUACAUUUUCGAUUUUCUAUUCACUCAUGAUCUGGCCUGGUCGACCCAAUCAUGAUAUUGAAGGAUUGGACCUUUUCUCAUGCUCUGUCAUCACCAACAUUAAAAUAUGGUGUUGACUAAGGUGCAAUAUGCCUUAGGUCAGUACUAUUAGCCACAAAAAUGGAAUAUGCUAUGCUUUGUCAUUACUAAAAUUAAAAUAUGGUGUUGACUAAGGUGUAAUAUGCCUUGGUUCGGUAUUAUUAGCCACCAACCUUAAAAUAUGAAUAUGGCGUCUCUAUAUCGUACGUAAGCUAGCAAUGUGGUCAUCAUCUUUGUCCACACAAAAAACUAACUGAGAGUGAUUGUAAGAGCAAAAGUAUUUUAGGCUUCUGGGUCUGGUGGGUCAAUCCCAGUACUUAUCCUAUAAAUAUUAUGGAUUAAUAGAAUGGAGAAAAAGUGAAAAACACAUCAUCAAGGUAAGCAAUGGAAACUCAAGUAGUUGAAGAUAUUGUGAUAGUGGGAGCUGGAAUUGCUGGCUUAACAACAUCAUUGGGACUUCAUAGGUUGGGUGUUAAAAGUUUGGUACUAGAAUCUUCAGAUACAUUGAGGCUCACUGGGUUUGCUCUAGCAACAUGGAAAAAUGCUUGGAAGGCCUUGGAAGCUGUCGGUGUUGGAAACAUCCUUCGCGACCAACAUCUACAGGUUAAUGUGACUACCAUUACUUCUUUGAUUACCGGGCAACCUACAUCUACUCUGUCUUUCAAGGAUAAUGGAAAGCGUGGAUCUUGUGAAGUUCGUUGUGUUAGAAGGAAGUUAAUGUUGGAAGCCCUUGCCAAUGAGCUUCCAAGUGGCACCAUUAGGUACUUGUCAAAGGUGGUUGCUAUUGAGGAAUCUGGCUUCUAUAAGAUACUCCAUCUUUCGGAUGGAACCACCAUCAAAACCAAGGUAUUGAUUGGGUGUGAUGGAGUAAACUCCAUGGUAGCAAAGUGGCUAGGCUUCAAGGAGGCCUCUUUUACAGGGAGACAAUCAAUCAGAGGAUGUGUAGAGUUGGAGAGCAACCACGGGUUCGAGCCCAUGUUAAAGAAGUUCUUUGGUCAAGGUUUUCAAACCGGAGUUGUUCCUAGUGAUCAGAAGACUGUUUACUGGUUUUUCAUUUCACUUGGACACCACGCACCACCCAAGAGGAAGAGCUAGAAGAGAACUCUGCUAAACUGAAACAAUUUGUAUUGAGCAAGCUUGAGAAGAUGCCAAGUGAUGUUAGAUGCUUCAUAGAAAAAACUGAAUUAGAUUGUUUCGAUUCAGCUCCAUUGAGAUAUAGACAACCAUGAGAUCUCAUGUUUGGAAACAUUAGCAAAGGUAAUGUUUGUGUUGCCGGAGACGCUCACCAUCCCAUGACUCCUGACCUUGGCCAGGGUGGGUGUUGUGCUUUGGAAGAUGGGGUUGUUUUAGCCAGGUGCCUAGCUAAGGCAUUCUCCGAAAAAUCGAAAGAAAGGAAAGGAGAAGAAGAAGAGGAAUACAAAAGGAUAGAGGAAAGCUUGAAGAAAUAUGCAGAUGAGAGAAAAUGGAGAAGCAUUGAUCUUAUCAGUACAGCUUAUAUGGCAGGUUUUGUUCAGCAAGCAAAUUCGAAAUGGGUCACUUUUAUAAGGGACAAAAUUCUGGCUAUAUUCCUAGCUGAUAUGAUGUUGAAGAAGGCAAAUUUUGAUUGUGGAACACUAAAUAGCUCUUAGAGACAUGAUUAUCUUGUAAAAUGCUCAGUUCAUCAUUUUGUUGCCUUCAACAAUAUGUCUGUUAAAUGUGAUGUAUGCUUUUGAAUAGAUUGUUAUUAAACUGUAUAAACCUAUUCUUAUAUUUGCUGCAUUUUGAUCUCUCACAA
Lotus japonicus is the source of this 2762-nucleotide RNA transcript. It is a transcript of the gene named monooxygenase 2-like, with no coding region annotated. The transcript is spliced from 6 exons. Lineage: Eukaryota; Viridiplantae; Streptophyta; Magnoliopsida; Fabales; Fabaceae. The record is from RefSeq and is a predicted model, not a curated record.